Molecule: RNA transcript, 2521 nt
Organism: Mastomys coucha (southern multimammate mouse)
Lineage: Eukaryota; Metazoa; Chordata; Mammalia; Rodentia; Muridae
Gene: Khdrbs2
Gene name: KH RNA binding domain containing, signal transduction associated 2
Exons: 17
Source: RefSeq, a predicted model, not a curated record
AGGCCGGCGGGGGCGGACCGCGCGGGCAUCCUCUCCAGCCGAGGCCGCGGCCGGAGCUUGGCUGGGGCGCAGGAGAGGCAGGUACCAGCGCUGUCUGCGCAGCCCCAGGCGCUAGAGCUGCGCUCAAGGAAGGAAGGACGGUUCCCGGGGGAGCCAGGGACCGAGGCGUCCGAGCAGGCGGGAUUUGCGCCUGGCGGGGCACGGUCCGAAGUCCGCGCUAUGGGAGAAGAGAAAUACUUGCCUGAGCUGAUGGCAGAGAAGGAUAGCCUGGAUCCAUCUUUUGUGCACGCGUCGCGCCUUCUGGCGGAAGAACAGAGUACUACAGCUAAACAGAAGACCAUUAAGAGGCAGCAUGUGGAAAUUGAGAAAUUUCAAGGUUCAGAUGGGAAAAAGGAAGACGAAGAAAAGAAAUAUCUCGAUGUCAUCAGCAACAAAAACAUAAAGCUUUCUGAAAGAGUAUUGAUUCCUGUGAAACAGUAUCCGAAGUUCAAUUUUGUGGGGAAAUUGCUUGGACCAAGAGGAAAUUCCUUGAAGAGGCUACAAGAAGAAACAGGUGCUAAAAUGUCUAUCCUGGGCAAAGGAUCGAUGCGAGAUAAGGCAAAGGAAGAAGAGCUGAGGAAGAGCGGGGAGGCCAAGUAUGCCCACCUGAGUGAUGAGCUGCAUGUAUUAAUUGAAGUGUUUGCUCCACCCGGGGAAGCUUAUUCACGGAUGAGUCAUGCUUUGGAAGAGAUUAAAAAAUUCCUGGUUCCUGACUACAAUGAUGAAAUCCGUCAAGAGCAACUCCGGGAGUUGUCUUACUUGAAUGGCUCAGAAGAGUCUGGCCGGGGGCGAGGUAUUAGAGGCAGAGGAAUCAGAAUAACUCCCACAGCUCCAUCAAGGGGCCGUGGGGGUGCUGUUCCGCCACCACCACCACCACCAGGACGAGGUGUUCUUACCCCUCGGGGGACUACUGUGACCCGCGGAGCUCUUCCAGUGCCCCCAAUAGCAAGAGGUGUCCCGACCCCUCGAGCCAGGGGGACGGCAGCAGUACCAGGAUACAGAGCACCCCCACCCCCAGCUCAUGAGGCUUAUGAAGAAUAUGGGUAUGAUGAUGGCUAUGGGGGUGAAUAUGAUGACCAGACCUAUGAGGCUUAUGAUAAUAGCUAUGUGACCCCGACACAAAGUGUGCCUGAAUACUAUGACUAUGGUCAUGGAGUAAAUGAGGAUACCUAUGACAGCUACGCACCAGAAGAAUGGGCCACAACUCGCUCCAGCCUGAAGGCACCACCACCAAGGUCAGCCAGAGGGGGAUACAGGGAACACCCCUAUGGUAGAUAUUGAAGGUCCUCUUCAUCUGUGACCUCCUCAAAGACAAUUCAUAGCCUGUGGUCUCCACAUAAACAGCAACAAGACAAGUCCGCACAAUGAGCACAUAAAUGGUAGCAGAUAUGCUGGACUAAAGGGGAUGCAGGAUUCCUUACCUUUGUAUGGAUGAGUAGUAUUCUGCUAUGCGUAUGGACUACAUUUACUUUCUGUGUUCAUCAGUUGAUGGCCAUUUUGAUAUUUCCAUGUCUUGACUACUAUGAAUAGAGCUACAGUGAACAUAGAAAUGCAGACUAAAGAAGUAAAUUUGGUCUAUGGCGGAAAAGGAAGCCUCACAAUAGAGAUGAGAGUUGGAUGGAUCAUCAGAUAUGGAGAAAAAAGCAUCCCUCCUAUAUAUCACAGGAGCUGAUUUCUCCUAUCAAGAGUUGGAGUUUCCUCAAAUAAAUCACAAAGGAUAAAAAGGCUCCUAGACUUCUCUAUAGGCAAACAGCAGAGCUAGGAUGCAUAGCUGCUGCACUAUUUUCUACUCCUAAGAAAAAGUGAUGACUCAUCCACUCUUCAUUCACUGCUGUCCUAAUUACCACGUGCAGGUCAUUAUACUAGACAAUAAGAGGGAAUUGCAGAUGUCUGUCAAUCAGAUCCAUACCUCCAAGACUGCAGAAUCUAGAGAAAAAGCAAAUAAAGCUCAAAAUGCACAGAGAACAAUACUGAUUUUCAUUAUUGAAUUAUUUAAAUGGGGACAGAGUUGUCAAAUUCAUCAAAGAAAUUAUAUGUUGACUGUGACACAGCUUUAUUGAGACUGCUGAAAGUCCCAUGGGAAAACUCCCUUCAGCUUGCACUACUGGAUUAGAAGGAAAUUUCUAAAUGAAACUUGCUAAUGAAGUCAACACACUGCUGAGGAAAUCGUGAGAAAUUCAGAGUGUUUGGCGACUGAUACAACUAACUUGAAAUAAAGCAUUUUUUGGAGUUGAGAAUAGUGAAAAGGUGGCAAACCCCAAAUCUGUAAGGAAAAUAGUUAAAUACAAGUUGUGUUCAGGGGCCAUGUAGCAUCUGGUGUUUGGGAUACAGUUAAUAAAAAUGUAUAAGGAAUAAUGCAAACCUUGGCACUAUAAAAAGCAAUCAAAUUGUUGAGAUAUUUAAAUAGAAGGUUUUUUUUUUUCAUUUUGUAGACAUGCUAUUUGAAUGUACAAAUGGAAUUAAUAAAACAUGAUUUUGGAAA